GACGAACGCUGGCGGCGUGCUUAACACAUGCAAGUCGAGCGGUAAGGCCCUUUUGGGGGUACACGAGCGGCGAACGGGUGAGUAACACGUGGGUGACCUGCCCUCAGCUCUGGGAUAAGCCUGGGAAACUGGGUCUAAUACUGGAUAUGACCUUUCCUCGCAUGGGGUUGGGUGGAAAGUUUUUCGGCUGGGGAUGGGCCCGCGGCCUAUCAGCUUGUUGGUGGGGUGAUGGCCUACCAAGGCGACGACGGGUAGCCGGCCUGAGAGGGCGACCGGCCACACUGGGACUGAGACACGGCCCAGACUCCUACGGGAGGCAGCAGUGGGAAUAUUGCGCAAUGGGCGGAAGCCUGACGCAGCGACGCCGCGU
Molecule: ribosomal RNA, 370 nt
Filed under: uncultured bacterium
Lineage: Bacteria
Description: bacterial SSU rRNA
Rfam family: Bacterial small subunit ribosomal RNA
Source: RNAcentral